UCUACCAUUACUUAACAGCCUCUCCUUUUGGAGCAAAACAGCUGUGGAGAGUAAGCAAAUUUAGCAGUUUAGUCCUUCAAACAAAAUAAAGCAGAUUUCUUCAUGCAGAGGAAGGCUUUUGACAGCACCAUUUAUAAUAAUAGGAGAAGAGCUACACAAAUAGGAUAAACCUCUGCAGAGAGUUCAGCAGCAGCUGUGAGAUCCUUGUGACACUGCUGGUCUGGUGUGCUGAAAUCUGAGAGGAGUGGC
This is a long non-coding RNA of Neopelma chrysocephalum (saffron-crested tyrant-manakin), 249 nucleotides long. RefSeq lists it as uncharacterized. The record is from RefSeq and is a predicted model, not a curated record. Lineage: Eukaryota; Metazoa; Chordata; Aves; Passeriformes; Pipridae. The transcript has 3 exons.